AGACCCGAAACCCGGUGAUCUAGCCAUGGGCAGGUUGAAGGUUGGGUAACACUAACUGGAGGACCGAACCGACUAAUGUUGAAAAAUUAGCGGAUGACCUGUGGCUGGGGGUGAAAGGCCAAUCAAACCGGGAGAUAGCUGGUUCUCCCCGAAAGCUAUUUAGGUAGCGCCUCGUGAAUUCAUCUCCGGGGGUAGAGCACUGUUUCGGCUAGGGGGCCAUCCCGGCUUACCAACCCGAUGCAAACUGCGAAUACCGGAGAAUGUUAUCACGGGAGACACACGGCGGGUGCUAACGUCCGUCGUGAAGAGGGAAACAACCCAGACCGCCAGCUAAGGUCCCAAAGUCAUGGUUAAGUGGGAAACGAUGUGGGAAGGCCCAGACAGCCAGGAUGUUGGCUUAGAAGCAGCCAUCAUUUAAAGAAAGCGUAAUAGCUCACUGGUCGAGUCGGCCUGCGCGGAAGAUGUAACGGGGCUAAACCAUGCACCGAAGCUGCGGCAGCGAACGUAUCACCCAAGACAACUUUGCGGAGUUGACGAUUGACGGAGCGAAGCGACGUCAAAGCGUUCAUUAAAGUCGAGUUGGCUUAGGGAUACGUUCGUUGGGUAGGGGAGCGUUCUGUAAGCCUGUGAAGGUGUGCUGUGAGGCAUGCUGGAGGUAUCAGAAGUGCGAAUGCUGACAUAAGUAACGAUAAAGCGGGUGAAAAGCCCGCUCGCCGGAAGACCAAGGGUUCCUGUCCAACGUUAAUCGGGGCAGGGUGAGUCGACCCCUAAGGCGAGGCCGAAAGGCGUAGUCGAUGGGAAACGGGUUAAUAUUCCCGUACUUGGUGUUACUGCGAAGGGGGGACGGAGAAGGCUAUGUUGGCCGGGCGACGGUUGUCCCGGUUUAAGCGUGUAGGUGUGUGUUCCAGGUAAAUCCGGUUCACUUUAACACUGAGGCGUGACGACGAGGCACUACGGUGCUGAAGCAACAAAUGCCCUGCUUCCAGGAAAAGCCUCUAAGCAUCAGGUAACAUCAAAUCGUACCCCAAACCGACACAGGUGGUCAGGUAGAGAAUACCAAGGCGCUUGAGAGAACUCGGGUGAAGGAACUAGGCAAAAUGGUGCCGUAA
Molecule: ribosomal RNA, 1109 nt
Filed under: Salmonella enterica subsp. enterica serovar Indiana
Lineage: Bacteria; Pseudomonadati; Pseudomonadota; Gammaproteobacteria; Enterobacterales; Enterobacteriaceae
Description: partial 23S ribosomal RNA
Rfam family: Bacterial large subunit ribosomal RNA
Source: RNAcentral